This 349-nucleotide transfer-messenger RNA is filed under the name Streptococcus panodentis. RNAcentral describes it as "Standard tmRNA". It matches the Rfam family "transfer-messenger RNA". From Rfam's summary of the family: Bacterial tmRNA, also known as 10Sa RNA or SsrA, is named for its dual tRNA and mRNA-like properties. The record is from RNAcentral. Lineage: Bacteria; Bacillati; Bacillota; Bacilli; Lactobacillales; Streptococcaceae.
GGGGUCGUUACGGAUUCGACAGGCAUUAUGAGGCAUAUUUUGCAACUCAUCUAGCGGAUGUAAAACGCCAGUUAAAUAUAACUGCAAAAAAUAACAAUUCUUACGCUUUAGCUGCCUAAAAACCAGCCAGCGUGACCCGAUUCGGAUGGCUUGUGUCUGAUGACAGGUCUUAUUUUCAGCAAGCUACGGUAAAAUCCAGUCUAGGGAUUUUGCAGGAGAUGAAUAGACUCGCCUGACUUGGGCCUGAGCUGUGUGUCAAAGUCAAGUUAAAGCAAGACACAGCCUAUGGUUGUAGACAAAUGUGUUAGCAGGUGUUUGGACGUGGGUUCGACUCCCACCGGCUCCAUUG